Molecule: ribosomal RNA, 253 nt
Filed under: uncultured bacterium
Lineage: Bacteria
Description: partial 16S ribosomal RNA
Rfam family: Bacterial small subunit ribosomal RNA
Source: RNAcentral
UACGUAGGGGGCUAGCGUUGUCCGGAAUCAUUGGGCGUAAAGCGCGUGUAGGCGGUCCGGUGAGUCCGCUGUGAAAGUCGGGGGCUCAACCCUCGAAUGCCGGUGGAUACUGUCGGGCUAGAGUGCGGAAGAGGCGAGUGGAAUUCCUGGUGUAGCGGUGAAAUGCGCAGAUAUCAGGAGGAACACCAAUUGCGAAGGCAGCUCGCUGGGACGUAACUGACGCUGAGACGCGAAAGCGUGGGGAGCAAACAGG